This is a non-coding RNA of Sus scrofa (pig), 2606 nucleotides long. NCBI's taxonomy places the organism in Eukaryota, Metazoa, Chordata, Mammalia, Artiodactyla, Suidae. The record is from RefSeq and is a predicted model, not a curated record.
CCAAGUCCUCAUGGAUAUUGGUUGGUUCGUUAACCACUGAACCACGACGGGAACUCCCCCUGCAGGACCAUUUUUUAGGGAGAGUUUCUAGGAUCAGCACCUGGGGAAGGGAGGGGCUGGAAGCCAAGGCGUCAGAGGAGGAACCCACAAAGGGAGCCACCGCCGGAGGCCCCGGCUGACCCCACGGAGGGCUCUGGAGCUGGGGUGACCCUUGGGAGUUGGGCUGGAGGGGUGAGCCUCCAGAGGCUGGCGUGGAUCAGCCCCCGGGCGUGGGCUGCUCCAGAAGCUGGCACGUCGGUGGGCAGGUUGGUUUCUUCAGCCCUCGGCAGGGGCUGACAGCUGAAGGCAGGCGGCAGGUAGCACUCCCGCAGCCAAGGGUGGAAGCCCUUCCUUCCGGAAGGGGGAGCGCGGCCGCCCACACCCUGCCCCCCGGGAGGCCUGCUGAACCCGGCGCCUCCAAAUCGCCACGGGGGCAUUCCUCAGGCUCCCCCCUCCCCGCCGAGGCCAGCCUGGCCCCCUUUCCUGCUGCCUCUCCUCCCACCCCUCUUUUCUUCCCUCGUCCCCCCGGGGGCUAUCCCAGAGGUUUUCCGAGUUUUAAAGGCUGUCCAAUCCGGCGGCCCAGGGCAAGUGUGCAAGGCGUCGGAACUGCCCUCCUCGAGGUAGAAGGUCAGGAAGCCCCUCCCUCUGGCCCCCGCUGUCUUGCUGUAAAACGCCGGGAAAUCUGUAAAGAGCGGGCGGGCUGAACCCAGAGCAUUUUUCCCCUCUCUAAUUGGGCGGUUCCAAACUUCACCACAGGGGGUACUAAAUUGUCCCGGGCUCUUUUAUUCGAGUCCACACGAGCAGGAAGCGCACCGUGGUUCUGCAGCUGCGAUAAGUUCCGUGUACGCACGCACGUGUGUAUCUGCUAGGUUUCAGCUACGUUAGGAGACGUUAGGAAACGGCCGUGGGCCUAAGUGGGGACAUGCAUUUGGGAACAGUCCGCAUUUUAUCACAAGUCCACGCUCCAGAGCCCAACGCGACCUGAGCUUCAAUCAGCACCAGGGACUUUGUUCAUUAGCAUAAAAGGUCUUAGACCUGAGUUCCCGCGGGCGGAAGCAGUUCCGAGAGGAGGGGGUUGGUCGGCAGUACCAGCGGCACCUCGGCCCUCACAGGCGCAGACCAGGAAAAGCUGGUGCGCUCCGUGGUUGGUUCCAUUAGAAAGGGCACCGUGGCGGGAGGUGGGGUGGUUGAUUCCCAACUGGAUCUGCGUGCAGCAAGCGGCUGUUUUGGUGGCUUUUGCACCCCUGGAGUCCCACCGGAAGGUUAGAGAAUCCCGCUGCAAGACUUUCCUGGCAUUUGCCUCGGGCAAACUUUCCUGCGAGGCUCUUCAAAGCACCGAGGGCUGGAACUUCAUUACGGGACCAGUUGUAGGGCUGCUUUGAGUAGCUUGCCCAGAACGUGGCCUAAAGACUUGCUUUCACAGGAACCUCGUGCCACGGUAUGGAGAGCACGCUGCUGCGCACGGACUCACCUCUAAUUACUAAAAGCCACAGAGUCACCAAAAAGAAUCUCAUGGGGGUUUUUUGUUUUUGUUGUUUUGCAAGACCAAACAGGCUCAGGGCAGUUUGCACCAGCCUAAAACCCCACCCCAGAUCCUCUAUAAAACCUUACUCAGCUGUGAAUUCCCGCCUUCCCACGCCAAUAACCACUGUGAGCCUCCAUGUUUUCUGGUGGGAAGAUAGGGGUCUGAUUCUUGUGUCCUCCAUCCUAAGAAGGUAUAUGGAUUAUAUGGAUUGUUUUCUUAAACCCUUCCGAAACAGGUUGGAUUCACAAACUGGAGCCUGUUGUCUUGGGGUUGGGGGAAGUUAAAAAAAAAACCUCAGCUCUCCGAAGUGUCCGCAGCAAGGAGGCCUCUGGUGCUGAUUUGGAGCCGCAGUGCAUGGGCACCUCGAACUGCACCGCUACGUGUCCCCACGUUUCCAGCUCAGAGGAAGCUUGGUUAGGGACAGUGUCCAUCCACAAAGAGAUCCUGCACACAGGCGGAUAAUCCACGCAAAACCCGGCCUGGCCCUGAGGGUGAAGUCACCGGGAAACGGAGGGUUCUCGGCCAGCAAUAAGGUGCCCACGGGUAUCAGGACGCUGGAGAAGGUCCCUCGCUGCUCCUCGCCACCGCGCUGUUGAAAUGACAUGGCUAUGGAGGAAUCCUUUCGUUCUGCAAGCGUAACCACAGGAAUCAGGAUGAGCGAAUUCCGCUCCCUGGAAACCCGGGGUGGCAUCUGCUUUGUCCGUAGAGCUCCUAAGCCAGAGUUCCAUAGCCUUUCAUGGCCUUCGUGUUGGGGAUCGAAAUAAAGCCCACGGAAUUCUCUGCUGGGAAAGGUGACGUCGCCAAAAUGCUGCUCAAUCCCAUUCCCUGUGGUGCCCGUGUGGAUGGGUAUUAAGCAUGCAUGUUGCACCUGGAGCCGUUCUGGCCACCAGCUUGACCCUUCUGUCUGUCAGUCCUGUCCAAGACCUCAGGAAGCUCUUGAUCUGAUGUGGUGCAGUCAACACUGGCCAGGGCAGGAGUUUCUGUUGUGGCUCAGUGGGCUAGGAACCUGACUAGUAUCCACAAGGAUGUGGGAUUGAUCCCU